CUGGUCCGUGUAGGGCCGGAGCUGUGGGCUCGUCAGGCUCAAGGCAUUUUUUCCCGCUGACGCUGCUGACUGAUGGAAUCACUGAAUUGUGUUUCUUCCAGAGUCAGCAUUUUGUCUGCCAGAACAGCUUGUUUCACUCUUGCUUUUCCAGGGAAAGAAUGGGAAAAGAUGUAAAAAGUAACCCGUAUCAAAUGAAAGAAAUAAAGCCCCAAAAGAGACCAGGCUGGAAGUCAGCAUGUGAAGUAGCAGGAAGGCUGUUCUCUGCAGGAGCUUCCGUAGAAGGAGCACAGGCCCUGCACCCCUCAGGGGCAUUUCGGGAAAACAUUCUUGAAGACUGAAGGAUCUCUGCUUGGAAAGCCCCAGUUACAUUGAGAAACCUCUGGCCGGAAACUGUGUGAAACUCCAACCCCUGCCCAGUGACUGUGCUUCAGUGCCUCAGUUUUGGAUAUAUGGAGAACGCACGGCCCUUUGCUGCUCUUAACGAAGAUCUCCACCUGUGCUGACCUGGAACUUGUACAUAGACAAGUAUGGCCUCAACCUCGCACAGAUCCCCCUGCUUCUGCCUACAGAGUGCACCUGUAAAAAAUAUUACAAUUCCUGUUUUCCAGCUGAGUACUGCAAAGGUAAGACAAUGACUUCAUCAAGGCGAGAGAGGUGCAGAGCUUCAGGCUGGCUCUGCCAAUCCGUCCCUGUUCUAGAAUCCAGUCUUAUUCCUUGAAGACCUCUUACUUGGCUCUAUUUCUGAUUCUGUUAGGUGGGACAUAGAGAAAGAGCUAAGAGUCCAUGUAAGUUUAGAAAGUUACCUUCUGGAUUUGUUCAAUGAACAGAGUCGUAAGAAAGACAGGCCUGGUACCAAGCAGCCUUGUGCAAUAAACCCGAGCUUUAAUUCUGCGAAGCAGAUACUGUCUCCAGUACUCCAGUUCCA
Molecule: long non-coding RNA, 925 nt
Organism: Nannospalax galili (Upper Galilee mountains blind mole rat)
Lineage: Eukaryota; Metazoa; Chordata; Mammalia; Rodentia; Spalacidae
Exons: 3
Source: RefSeq, a predicted model, not a curated record